RNAcentral lists this ribosomal RNA (458 nucleotides) under uncultured bacterium. RNAcentral's name for it is "partial 16S ribosomal RNA". It matches the Rfam family "Bacterial small subunit ribosomal RNA", at positions 338 to 795 of the family's 1533-position model. The record is from RNAcentral.
CCUACGGGUGGCAGCAGUGAGGAAUAUUGGUCAAUGGGCGAAAGCCUGAACCAGCCAAGUCGCGUGAGGGAGUACUGCCCUAUGGGUUGUAAACCUCUUUUGUCGGGGAGCAAAAGCCGGACGUGUCCGGCUGUGAGAGUACCCGAAGAAAAAGCAUCGGCUAACUCCGUGCCAGCAGCCGCGGUAAUACGGAGGAUGCGAGCGUUAUCCGGAUUUAUUGGGGUUAAAGGGUGCGCAGGGGGAUUUUUAAGUCAGCGGGAAAAGCGUGGGGCUCAACCCCAUCCAGCCGUUGAAACUGGGGAUCUAGAGAGUGCGAGAGGGAUGCGGAAUGCGUGGUGUAGCGGUGAAAUGCAUAGAUAUCACGCAGAACCCCGAUUGCGAAGGCAGCAUACCGGUGCACAACUGACGCUCAGGUACGAAAGCGUGGGUAUCGAACAGGAUUAGAUACCCGGGUAGUC